AUAGCCCAACAGGCAGAGGCAACAGACUUAAAAUCUGUAAAGUGCGAGUUCAAAUCUCGCUUCGAGCACCA
This 71-nucleotide transfer RNA is filed under the name Caudoviricetes sp. RNAcentral describes it as "tRNA-Leu". It matches the Rfam family "tRNA". Rfam says of the family: Transfer RNA (tRNA) molecules are approximately 80 nucleotides in length. Their secondary structure includes four short double-helical elements and three loops (D, anti-codon, and T loops). Further hydrogen bonds mediate the characteristic L-shaped molecular structure. tRNAs have two regions of fundamental functional importance: the anti-codon, which is responsible for specific mRNA codon recognition, and the 3' end, to which the tRNAs corresponding amino acid is attached (by aminoacyl-tRNA synthetases). tRNAs cope with the degeneracy of the genetic code in two manners: having more than one tRNA (with a specific anti-codon) for a particular amino acid; and 'wobble' base-pairing, i.e. permitting non-standard base-pairing at the 3rd anti-codon position. Lineage: Duplodnaviria; Heunggongvirae; Uroviricota; Caudoviricetes. The record is from RNAcentral.